UACAAGGCAUACGGCUCAGUAACGCGUAGCCUAUCUAACCUAUGGACGGGAAUAACCUCGGGAAACUGAGAAUAAUGCCCGAUAGAACAUUAUGCCUGGAAUGGUUUAUGUUCCAAAUGAUUUAUCGCCGUAGGAUGGGACUGCGGCCUAUCAGUUUGUUGGUGAGGUAAUGGCCCACCAAGACUAUUACAGGUACGGGCUCUGAGAGGAGUAGCCCGGAGAUGGGUACUGAGACACGGACCCAGGCCCUAUGGGGCGCAGCAGGCGAGAAAACUUUGCAAUGUGCGAAAGCACGACAAGGUUAAUCCGAGUGGUUUCUGCUAAAGAAACCUUUUGUCAGUCCUAGAAACACUGAUGAAUAAGGGGUGGGCAAGUUCUGGUGUCAGCCGCCGCGGUAAAACCAGCACCUCAAGUGGUCAGGAUGAUUAUUGGGCCUAAAGCAUCCGUAGCCGGCUCUGUAAGUUUUCGGUUAAAUCUGUACGCUCAACGUACAGGCUGCCGGGAAUACUGCAGAGCUAGGGAGUGGGAGAGGUAGACGGUACUCGGUAGGAAGGGGUAAAAUCCUUUGAUCUAUUGAUGACCACCUGUGGCGAAGGCGGUCUACCCGAACACGUCCGACGGUGAGGGAUGAAAGCUGGGGGAGCAAACCGGAUUAGAUACCCGGGUAGUCCCAGC
This 675-nucleotide ribosomal RNA is filed under the name uncultured crenarchaeote. RNAcentral's name for it is "bacterial SSU rRNA". It matches the Rfam family "Archaeal small subunit ribosomal RNA", at positions 75 to 751 of the family's 1478-position model. The record is from RNAcentral. Lineage: Archaea; Thermoproteati; Thermoproteota.